This 268-nucleotide signal recognition particle RNA is filed under the name Acidimicrobiia bacterium. Its description in RNAcentral is "signal recognition particle sRNA large type". It matches the Rfam family "Bacterial large signal recognition particle RNA". From Rfam's summary of the family: The signal recognition particle (SRP) is a universally conserved ribonucleoprotein involved in the co-translational targeting of proteins to membranes. Archaeal SRP consists of a 7S RNA and homologues of the eukaryotic SRP19 and SRP54 proteins. The record is from RNAcentral. Lineage: Bacteria; Bacillati; Actinomycetota; Acidimicrobiia.
CCGUGCUAGGUGGGGAGCUCGUGGUUCCCUGUACCCCGAAUCCACGUCACGGGGGCUGAACUCCCACCCGAGGGUCGGACCGCCGUGGACUUCGCGUCCCGACCGAGGUGUCGAGGGCCGGGUCCUGCGCAACGGGACACCGUGAAUCGAGUCAGGUCCGGAAGGAAGCAGCUCUCAGCGGCUCAGCCCGUGUGCCGCAGGGUUGCCUGGUCUGAGCCCCGGACGGGAUCACGCGUUCCGCGGCGCCGGGUCGACGGUGGGUGCACGG